Molecule: microRNA precursor, 73 nt
Filed under: Medicago truncatula (barrel medic)
Lineage: Eukaryota; Viridiplantae; Streptophyta; Magnoliopsida; Fabales; Fabaceae
Description: MIR5272 microRNA precursor family
Rfam family: MIR5272 microRNA precursor family
Source: Rfam by way of RNAcentral
UUGAACGUAAAUUGAUUAUGUUUGGAUACACUUUAAUAGAAGUGAUUCUGAUGAGUUGAUGUUGUUCGGAUAG